This 253-nucleotide ribosomal RNA is filed under the name uncultured bacterium. Its description in RNAcentral is "partial 16S ribosomal RNA". It matches the Rfam family "Bacterial small subunit ribosomal RNA", at positions 524 to 776 of the family's 1533-position model. The record is from RNAcentral.
GACGAACCGUCCGAACGUUAUUCGGAAUCACUGGGCUUAAAGGGUGCGUAGGCGGCGCGGAAAGUUGGGUGUGAAAUCCCUCGGCUCAACCGAGGAACUGCGCCCAAUACUACCGUGCUCGAGGGAGAUAGAGGUGAGCGGAACUUAGGGUGGAGCGGUGAAAUGCGUUGAUAUCCUAAGGAACACCGGUGGCGAAAGCGGCUCACGGGAUCUCUUCUGACGCUGAGGCACGAAAGCUAGGGUAGCGAACGGG